CGAGAAUCGGGAAGUUCUGCCUCAGUGACCUUCGCUGUUGGUCGUGGCACUGAGGCCCAGAUCAUGCCACCUCCUCUAACAAGUGGCUGAGUGGACACCCCACACAUUCUACCCAAGGGCCGUGAGUGGCCAAGAUCGGGGCUCAGAAGUCUCUGAAUCUUCACAGCUGGUCACGUUCAGCUCGGUCACUUCCUGUAAGAUUCCAGGCACUGCAUGCACUGACAUGGGUGCGUGUGGGCCCACUGGGUCCUGCCUGGGAGCCUUCCCUGAAUGUUCAUUUUUUGCAGGUCUGUGUUUGUCUUGGAGUAAGGAUUAUUCUCGCUUGCUGGGGUCAUGGUGUUUUGGCCUCUCCUGGCCUGGACUCUCAAAAACUCAUCAUCCUUCAUAGGUCUGAAGGCUUCUACAUUCCCACCAGCAGGUGGACCAUAUGAACUCAAAACUAGUUGUGGCAGAGGGACCCUGAA
Molecule: long non-coding RNA, 464 nt
Filed under: Homo sapiens (human)
Lineage: Eukaryota; Metazoa; Chordata; Mammalia; Primates; Hominidae
Description: non-protein coding lnc-ZNF837-1:15
Source: RNAcentral